CAGCUUGCUUCUAUGACGUUAGCGGCGGAGGGUGAGUAACACGUGGGCAACCUGCCUGUAACACUGGGAUAACUUCGUGCAAACCGAAGCUAAUACCGGAUAGGAUCUUCUCCUUCAUGGAAGAUGAUUGAAAGAUGGUUUCGGCUAUCACUUACAGAUGGGCCCGCGGUGCACUAGCUCGUUGGUGAGGUAGCGGCUCACCAUGGCAACGAUGCGUAGCCCACCUGAGAGGGUGAUCGGCCACACUGGGACUGACCACACCGUCCACACUCCUACGGGAGGCAGCAGUAUGGAAUCUUCCGCAAUGGACGAAAGUCUGACGGAGCAAGGCCGCGCGAGUGAUGAAAGCUUUCGGGUCGUAUAACUCUGUUGUUAGGCAACAACAAUUACCAGAGUGACUGCUUGUACCUUGACGGUACCUAAUCUGACUGCCACGGCUAACUACGUGGCAGCGACCGCGGUAAGACCUACGUGGCGCGCGUUAUCCGGAAUUAUGGUGCGUAGAGCGCGCGCACGCCGUUUCUUACGUCUGAUGUGAAAGCCCGCGGCUCAACCGUGGAGGGUCAUUGCAAACUGGGGAACUUGAGU
This 588-nucleotide ribosomal RNA is filed under the name Priestia megaterium. RNAcentral describes it as "bacterial SSU rRNA". It matches the Rfam family "Bacterial small subunit ribosomal RNA", at positions 76 to 647 of the family's 1533-position model. The record is from RNAcentral. Lineage: Bacteria; Bacillati; Bacillota; Bacilli; Caryophanales; Bacillaceae.